RNAcentral lists this ribosomal RNA (585 nucleotides) under uncultured bacterium. RNAcentral describes it as "bacterial SSU rRNA". It matches the Rfam family "Bacterial small subunit ribosomal RNA", at positions 338 to 916 of the family's 1533-position model. The record is from RNAcentral.
CCUACGGGAGGCAGCAGUGGGGAAUUUUGGACAAUGGGCGCAAGCCUGAUCCAGCAAUGCCGCGUGAGUGAAGAAGGCCUUCGGGUUGUAAAGCUCUUUUGUCAGGGAAGAAACGGUGGUUCCUAAUAUGGACUACUAAUGACGGUACCUGAAGAAUAAGCACCGGCUAACUACGUGCCAGCAGCCGCGGUAAUACGUAGGGUGCAAGCGUUAAUCGGAAUUACUGGGCGUAAAGCGUGCGCAGGCGGUUAUAUAAGUCAGAUGUGAAAUCCCCGGGCUCAACCUGGGAACUGCAUUUGAGACUGUAUGGCUAGAGUGUGUCAGAGGGGGGUAGAAUUCCACGUGUAGCAGUGAAAUGCGUAGAUAUGUGGAGGAAUACCGAUGGCGAAGGCAGCCCCCUGGGAUAACACUGACGCUCAUGCACGAAAGCGUGGGGAGCAAACAGGAUUAGAUACCCUGGUAGUCCACGCCCUAAACGAUGUCUACUAGUUGUCGGGACUUAAUUGUCUUGGUAACGCAGCUAACGCGUGAAGUAGACCGCCUGGGGAGUACGGUCGCAAGAUUAAAACUCAAAGGAAUUGACGG